GCCCCGGUAGCUCAGCUGGAUAGAGCGGCGGCCUUCUAAGCCGCAUGUCGCAGGUUCGAGUCCUGCCCGGGGUG
This 74-nucleotide transfer RNA is filed under the name uncultured Solirubrobacteraceae bacterium. Its description in RNAcentral is "tRNA-Arg-TCT". It matches the Rfam family "tRNA". Rfam says of the family: Transfer RNA (tRNA) molecules are approximately 80 nucleotides in length. Their secondary structure includes four short double-helical elements and three loops (D, anti-codon, and T loops). The record is from RNAcentral. Lineage: Bacteria; Bacillati; Actinomycetota; Thermoleophilia; Solirubrobacterales; Solirubrobacteraceae.